UGAGGAAUAUUGGUCAAUGGGCGAGAGCCUGAACCAGCCACGUCGCGUGAAGGAAGACUGACCCUACGGUUUGUAAACUUCUUUUGUAGAGGGGUAAUGGCAGAUACGUGUAUUUGCGUGAAAGUACUCUACGAAUAAGCAUCGGCUAACUCCGUGCCAGCAGCCGCGGUAAUACGGGGGAUGCGAGCGUUAUCCGGAAUUAUUGGGUUUAAAGGGUGCGCAGGUGGCUAAUCAGGUCAGUGGUGAAAAGCUAUGGCUCAACCAUGGUCUUGCCAUUGAAACCGUAUAGCUAGAGAGGAGACGAGGUAGGCGGAAUGUGUGGUGUAGCGGUGAAAUGCAUAGAUAUCACACAGAACUCCGAUUGCGAAGGCAGCUUACCAGGCUUUAUCUGACACUUAGGCACGACAGCGUGGGGAUCAAACAGG
RNAcentral lists this ribosomal RNA (425 nucleotides) under Verrucomicrobiota bacterium. RNAcentral's name for it is "Verrucomicrobia bacterium partial 16S ribosomal RNA". It matches the Rfam family "Bacterial small subunit ribosomal RNA", at positions 355 to 776 of the family's 1533-position model. The record is from RNAcentral. Lineage: Bacteria; Pseudomonadati; Verrucomicrobiota.